AUAUCAAUAAGCGGAGGAAAAGAAACUAACAAGGAUUCCCCUAGUAACUGCGAGUGAAGCGGGAAAAGCUCAAAUUUAAAAUCUGGCGGUCUUUGGCCGUCCGAGUUGUAAUUUAGAGAAGCGUUUUCCGCGCUGGACCGUGUCCAAGUCCCUUGGAACAGGGUAUCAAAGAGGGUGACAAUCCCGUACUUGACACGACAACCAGUGCUCUGUGAUACGUCUUCUACGAGUCGAGUUGUUUGGGAAUGCAGCUCAAAAUGGGUGGUGAAUUCCAUCUAAAGCUAAAUAUUGGCGAGAGACCGAUAGCGCACAAGUA
This 316-nucleotide ribosomal RNA is filed under the name uncultured Ganoderma. RNAcentral's name for it is "partial large subunit ribosomal RNA". It matches the Rfam family "Eukaryotic large subunit ribosomal RNA", at positions 40 to 350 of the family's 3401-position model. The record is from RNAcentral. Lineage: Eukaryota; Fungi; Basidiomycota; Agaricomycetes; Polyporales; Polyporaceae.